Molecule: long non-coding RNA, 703 nt
Filed under: Ursus maritimus (polar bear)
Lineage: Eukaryota; Metazoa; Chordata; Mammalia; Carnivora; Ursidae
Description: lncRNA (ENSUMAG00000002484.1)
Source: RNAcentral
GUUGCAUCCUCCUCACGAGCCUCCCGCGACGGGAUUAGCCACAUUUUACCAACGAAGGCCUCCACCCUCCCGGAAGACAGCAACUGGCCCAAGGUGACACGGCUGGGAAGGAAGAGUGCAGGGAUUUGAAUCCAGGACUUUUUUUCUCUUUUACUCUACUUCGCGUGGCCCCUGGCUGCUAGGGUGCUGGGGAACCUGCCCCAGUGCGACCUGUGCGGUGGCUCCGUCCUGGUUGUGCCUCCAGGGGACCGGCUGCCGUGAUGCAGGUCAUUUUCAUAGUUGGGUGAGGAGACGCUUCAGACGUGCGAUGAGCCACAGCCGGUAGCUGGUUCUCUCCUGGGAUGCGCAUUUAGAUCCCCAUCUUGUUGAUCCCAAAGACUCUACCUGCACCCAGGAUCCAAAAGUUUUAAUGUAGGAGAACCACAGCGUCCCUUUGUAAUUGUGGGUAAGCACAUCUUGUUUCUAUAACUUUCGGGUUGAUCUGCUGAUCUAAUCAUGCUGUUCCUUGGGCCAAAUCUAACCCUGUAUCGUAAUGCUCCAGACAAAAGAAAGGGCUGUUUCCUGGAGGCCUGUGGCUUCUUUGGUCUGUGGAAGGUCUGCUGAAGUAGACCCUGAGCAAGAGAGAAGGAAAGGGAAGUACUAGGGUGAAGAGGAAGGGCAAGCUGCUCCCAGAGGUGAACCCAGAAAUGCAUGUCAGUACAAG